UACGUAGGGUGCGAGCGUUGUCCGGAAUUAUUGGGCGUAAAGAGCUCGUAGGCGGUCUGUCGCGUCGAUCGUGAAAACUUGGGGCUUAACCCUGAGCUUGCGGUCGAUACGGGCAUGACUGGAGUUCGGCAGGGGAGACUGGAAUUCCUGGUGUAGCGGUGAAAUGCGUAGAUAUCUGGAGGAACACCGGUGGCGAAGGCGGCAUCCUGGACCGAGAUUGACGCUGAGGCGCGAAAGCCAGGGGAGCAAACGGG
Molecule: ribosomal RNA, 254 nt
Filed under: uncultured bacterium
Lineage: Bacteria
Description: partial 16S ribosomal RNA
Rfam family: Bacterial small subunit ribosomal RNA
Source: RNAcentral